RNAcentral lists this small nuclear RNA (141 nucleotides) under Bemisia tabaci. RNAcentral describes it as "U4 spliceosomal RNA". It matches the Rfam family "U4 spliceosomal RNA". Rfam says of the family: U4 small nuclear RNA (U4 snRNA) is a component of the major U2-dependent spliceosome. The structure of U4 snRNA from yeast and human has been reported. The record is from RNAcentral. Lineage: Eukaryota; Metazoa; Arthropoda; Insecta; Hemiptera; Aleyrodidae.
AGCUUUGCGCAGAGGCGAUAUCGUAACCAAUGAAGUUCAUCUGAGGUGCGAUUAUUGCUAGUUGAAAACUUUAACCAAUACCCCGCCACGUGAACGUGAAAUACCGUUCGCAAUGGCAAUUUUUGAAUGCUCCCACGGGAG